UUACCAAUUUGCUGACUUCUCAUCUAACUUUACCAUUUUACUCAUCUGAAAAAAAGCCCUAUCUGUAUAUCCUCACCCGUCUCUCCUCCGCUCCGUCUCGAUCUCUCACUGCUCAAUCUCCAUUUCUCAGCUGAAGCCCUUGAUUGAUGUUUGCUAACCCGUCUCUCUUUCGGUAUUAUCUCAUCUGAGAUUACAAAGUUGAAGCCCUAGGUUUCUCUUCAGGCCGUCUCUCCUCUGUCUCAAUCUCUCACCAGUUACUCGAUCUCCAAGAGCUGUUAAUGUAUGUCAUUUCGAGAUCUUACUCACUAGCUUUUCCUCCCAAAACGUUCUCGCUGAAGCCUCUCUCAGUUGUUUCAUCUAACUUAAACUAUUAUCUCAUCGUCAAAUUGAAGCCCUAGCUGUAUCUUCAGGCCGGCCGUCUCUCCUCUGCUCUAUCUCAAUCGAUCAAGCCGUUUCUCAGCUGCAAGAGCCGUUCUCCUCUUCUCUUUCUCGAUCUCUCACCAGCUGCUCGAUCUCCAUUUCUCAGCUGAAGCCCUUGAUUGAUCAGGCUGUUUCUCUGCUGCAAGGCUAAACUGUCUCUCUUCAAGCCGUCUCGCCUCUGCUCGAUCUCCAUAACUCUCAGGCAACUUUUUUGCUUGUGAUGAAAAGCAUAAAAGAUCUUCAAGCAAGCCAAUACUCUGACUCGCCUAUUGGCAGUUCCGAUGAUUUGUACUCCGUUGUGAGGGGAGAAGAGAGAAGGGGUCGUGUGCGGAUGUUUGGCUUGGGGCCUACACCAAGCAAUGUUUGGGGGCCCUCUCCUAGUAAAGCUGAACUCAUUAACAAAGCCAAAAAAUCUGAUGAGGAGGCACAUGCUAACGUGUAGAGUUGCAGGAUACAAUUUCAAAAAUGCAAGCUGACUAUGACGAUAAAUUGGAAAAUUUACGAGCUGAUUAUGACGACAAAUUGGAAAAUUUACAAAAAUAAGUGGCUAUGCUAAUGCAGAUGCAACAACGAAAUUCUAGUGGAUAGGUAUAUUUAUUAUUAGUUUUACUCUUUACUGAAUAUAAGUUUACUUAUGCCAAGAUUUCAUGUAUAAUUUUGUUUUGUUAUUUUGAAGGGUUCUGAUUCUUCAAAUGUUCCUAGAGAAUCUCCAAAUUCAAUUUCUAGUCGUGCCAAUUUAGUUAAGGUUAUGACUUUAAUUUCUUUUUUUUUUAAA
This is a long non-coding RNA of Cornus florida, 1195 nucleotides long. RefSeq lists it as uncharacterized. NCBI's taxonomy places the organism in Eukaryota, Viridiplantae, Streptophyta, Magnoliopsida, Cornales, Cornaceae. The transcript has 3 exons. The record is from RefSeq and is a predicted model, not a curated record.